This 253-nucleotide ribosomal RNA is filed under the name uncultured bacterium. RNAcentral describes it as "partial 16S ribosomal RNA". It matches the Rfam family "Bacterial small subunit ribosomal RNA", at positions 524 to 776 of the family's 1533-position model. The record is from RNAcentral.
UAAGAAGGGGGCAAGCGUUGUUCGGAGUUACUGGGCGUAAAGGGCGCGUAGGCGGAUUCGUAAGUCAGAGGUGAAAGCCCUGGGCUCAACCCGGGAAAUGCCUUUGGAACUGCGAGUCUUGAGUACGGGAGAGGAUGGCGGAAUACCCAGUGUAGAGGUGAAAUUCGUAGAUAUUGGGUAGAACACCGGUGGCGAAGGCGGCCAUCUGGCCUGUAACUGACGCUGAGGCGCGAAAGCGUGGGGAGCAAACAGG